CCUACGGGCGACUGCAGUGAGGAAUAUUGGUCAAUGGGCGAGAGCCUGAACCAGCCAAGUCGCGUGAGGGAGUACUGCCCUAUGGGUUGUAAACCUCUUUUGUCGGGGAGCAAAAGCCGGACGUGUCCGGCUGUGAGAGUACCCGGAGACAAAGCAUCCGGUAACUUCGGGCCAGCAGCCGCGGUAAUACGGAGGAUGCGAGCGGUAUCCGGAUUUAUUGGGUGUAAAGGGGGCGCAGGCGGAGUUUUAAGUCAGCGGUCAAAUCGUGGGGCUCAACCCCAUCCAGCCGUUGAAACUGGGGAUCUAGAGUGUGCGGGAGGUAUGCGGAAUGCGUGGUGUAGCGGUGAAAUGCAUAGAUAUCACGCAGAACCCCGAUUGCGAAGGCAGCAUACCGGUGCACAACUGACGCUCAGGCACGAAAGCGUGGGUAUCGAACAGGAUUAGAUACCCCAGUAGUC
Molecule: ribosomal RNA, 458 nt
Filed under: uncultured bacterium
Lineage: Bacteria
Description: partial 16S ribosomal RNA
Rfam family: Bacterial small subunit ribosomal RNA
Source: RNAcentral